UUUGACUAAAGGUUGAGUAUAAGCAUCAGCAUCUUACUCAGAAACCCAAAUUAAGACAGAAAAUUAAUUAGUUAACCUAUGAUAUCUCAAAAUGGGUGACUCUGCUGCAGCCUCACUCCUAGCAGAAAGUACAUCCCUAGCAACCAGCACCCUAGAGCGAGCCACCCUCACUGCUCGAUCUACUACUCACACAACCAGUACAUGUACAUGGUAUACAGGCCUAGCUGACAUCAGUGACAUACUACUAAAUAGAAAACCGCUUGUUAUGCUGAGCAUUUCAGGCAAAUUAGGACAGUUUUGUCCCAGGAUGUGACCCACACCAGUCAACUAACACCCAGCUGUGAUCGAGAAACAACUCCAAAACGAAGCGAAGCUCACC
Cherax quadricarinatus is the source of this 379-nucleotide non-coding RNA. The record is from RefSeq and is a predicted model, not a curated record. NCBI's taxonomy places the organism in Eukaryota, Metazoa, Arthropoda, Malacostraca, Decapoda, Parastacidae.